Molecule: long non-coding RNA, 760 nt
Organism: Oncorhynchus tshawytscha (Chinook salmon)
Lineage: Eukaryota; Metazoa; Chordata; Actinopteri; Salmoniformes; Salmonidae
Source: Ensembl
CCUCUCUUGCAAUCUCGUAGUAGCCCACAGUACACAUUCUUGCUAUCCUUGGAUCAAGGAAACCUAUUUGGGUCUCUGCUCGUCAAUCUCGUAUCUCUGCAGUAGCAUUUCUUGAUGAUAUGAGAGCUAAUAUAGGCGAAUCCCUGCACCAUAGGCGUCACAUCUUCUUGCCAAAGCUGGAUCUCUAUGUAUUUUUGUGAUCGUUGAACAAAACCCAAGAAACCGGGGGCUGCGUGGAAUAACAACGAACAUGACUGCGAUGGGGAAAUUUAAGCAUACCCUGCUUAUUUUUGCAUGUCUGAUUACCGCAGCUAACGGAUCCCCAUUAGCUGAUGAUGUCACGGCAGUCGUCGGUGGAGGAAUAAGUGGACCAAAGCGCAGCGUGUUGCAAGUUUUGGCACAUUCAUUCCGGCAACAUAGCACCCUCCAUUCCACUGCCGGUUUGCGUCUGAAGCUAAGCACGGUCUAUCCUGGUUGGUCCCUGGAUGGGACACCAGACGUAGCUGGAAGUGGUGAAAUUAAAAGUGUGGAGAAAACAAAUUCACAUGGGGAUUUUUUUUUCACUGGUGAAAAAUGUACAUGUGAAACUUCACACAUGUUUGAAAACCACAUCUGACCUGUGAUUUAUUUUUACAUGUGACAUUUUUCACAUGUGAUUUGUUCACACGUGUGUGUUUAAAAAUGUUUUUUUUGUAAUGGUGGUGGGCAUAAAGAACAUUUAUGAAAUUGGUUUUUCUUACUACUAUGCUCUGUGGAUGGC